Musa acuminata AAA Group (dessert banana) is the source of this 2019-nucleotide RNA transcript. RefSeq lists it as uncharacterized. The transcript has 11 exons. NCBI's taxonomy places the organism in Eukaryota, Viridiplantae, Streptophyta, Magnoliopsida, Zingiberales, Musaceae. The record is from RefSeq and is a predicted model, not a curated record.
GACGGCACACGAAUCAUACCAGAUCCCUGCUAAUCGUGUCACGAUAAAACCCUAAAAACCCGACCUAUCGUCUUCUCUACUGACGUCUUCCUUAUCCCGGCCGUCAAUGGCGAAGACCGCCGCCCGCUCCGAUCCCUCCAAGAAGGAGAAGAAGAAGAAGAAGGGGAAAGGGGCAAAGCGUCUGCCCUCCGGCCCCGCCGCUGCUGCCAUGAAGGCGGCGAAGCCGCCCCCCACAUUGAACCCCUUCGAGAGCAUAUGGUCUCGCAGAAAGUUCGACGUCGUCGGCAAGCGACGUAAGGGUGAGGAGCGUCGUAUCGGUCUCUCCCGAUCUCUCGCAGUCGAGAAGAGGAAGAAGACUUUGCUGAAGGAGUAUGAGCAAAGUGCAAAGUCAUCCGUGUUUUUGGACAACCGAAUUGGAGAAAAGGAUGAUACUCUACAAGAAUUCGACAAAGCCGUGUUACGUCUUCAACGUGAGCGCCAGUUAAAGUUGAAAAGAACUAGCAAAUACAAUUUGUCCGAUGACGAGGAAGAUGAUACUACAGUUGAUCAGCCACAUUCCUCUGACAAGGAUGAUUUUGAGGAUGAAGUGCCCCUAGAUGAUGAUGAAGAUGCUGAUUUCAAGAAUGGAGGUGGUUUAGCAUCGCCAAAACAUUUGAGCUUGCAGUCUCUGCAAAAUUCUUCAGAAUCUAGCUUGCUUGAUGGAGAGGAUCAGACACACAAAUCUAAGAAGCAAGUGAUGAUGGAGAUAAUCUCAAAGAGAAAAUUUUACAAGAUCACUAUGGCUACAAUUUGUCAAUUCAUAUCAGUGUCAAAUGCAAGAUGUUCACACGAGGUUGAUGAAACAAAAUUACGAGUUUAUUCCCCGGUGGUGGUACUACUCUCUACUCUUCUCCACGAUGGGUUUUACCAACUUGGUUCUUCGAUUCUGGAUGACUCUCCGAUCGAGCAGGUUCGGUUGACAGUCCCACCAACAGAUGAUAACACAUUGCAGGUCUUGACAUUCCGAACAUGGCUUAUCGUGCAGGUCUUGACAUUCCGAACAUGGCUUAUCGGAAUCCCCAUUUGCAUCCUCGGGUCCGUAAGUGCAGCAUUAUCCUUUUACCGACAGCAAAUGUUCUUUUUUUCAUAUGUCUGCAUCAACAUGAUGGUGUUCAUUGCUGGGAAACUAAUGGCUAACAUGCUACCGAACAAAGUGAUAAGAAUGCCAUACACAAACUGGAGUUUCUCGUUGAAUCCGGGACCCUUCAACUUGAAAGAACAUGUGGCGACCACCAUGUUGGCCGGCAGGGUAAGUGCUUCUGCCGGCUUUGAAAUAUUAACCAUAUCCAAGAUCUUCUACCACAAGGAUAUCCCGUUACUACCGGCCAUACUGCUGGUACUAUCGAUUCAGUUGCUAGUGCACUCGCCCUAUAUGUGGUGGCCUUCGACUCUAGUAGACGUCGCCUUCUACAGAGCAUUACACGAGCCGGAGAAAAGAGCCAAGGGAAAAUUGUCACGAUAUCAGUUCUUCAUUAUAGUCAUCGUUGCAAUUUUUACCUACAGUAUUAUUCCUGUUUACCUCUUUCCUUCUAUCACGGCUCUAUCGUUCGUUUGUUGGAUAUGGAAAGACUCGAUAACUGCGCAGCAAAUAGGUUCUGGAUUCAAUGCAUUAGGCAUAGGCUCUUUUGCGUUGGAUUGGAUGACCAUGUCAUCCUACAUGGACAUGGUAUAAAAGGGUUCAAAUGUUCAUAAAUUGUGUUGAACUUCAGUUGGCAUGUCUUUUUGGAGAUGGUCAUGGUAUAAAAGGGUUCAAAUGUCAAAUCCCCAGCAUGUUCCUUGGAUAAGAUAGAUCGACUGAGUUAAAAUUUCCAUUUUGCAUGGAAGCUCUACUCUUUCAAAAUGUUAAAGUUGAAAAGAACUAGCAAAUACAAUUUGUCCGAUGACGAGGAAGAUGAUACUACAGUUGAUCAGCCACAUUCCUCUGACAAGGAUGAUUUUGAGGAUGAAGUGCCCCUAGAUGAUGAUGAAGAUGCUGAUUUC